This 279-nucleotide ribosomal RNA is filed under the name uncultured bacterium. RNAcentral's name for it is "partial 16S ribosomal RNA". It matches the Rfam family "Bacterial small subunit ribosomal RNA", at positions 506 to 784 of the family's 1533-position model. The record is from RNAcentral.
UGCCAGCAGCCGCGGUAAUACGGAGGAUGCAAGUGUUAUCCGGAAUCAUUGGGUGUAAAGGGUUCGUAGGCGGUAAAACAAGUUGAAUAUUAAAGGCUGAGGCUCAACCUCAUGCACGUGUUCAAAACUGUUAUGCUAGAAUUAGGGAGAGGUAAGCGGAAUUCUGUGUGUAGGGGUGCAAUCCGUAGAUACACAGAGGAACACCAAAAGCGAAGGCAGCUUACUGGAACUAUAUUGACGCUGAGGAACGAAAGCGUGGGUAGCGAAAAGGAUUAGAUA